This 1487-nucleotide long non-coding RNA is filed under the name Phocoena sinus (vaquita). RNAcentral describes it as "lncRNA (ENSPSNG00000001409.1)". Lineage: Eukaryota; Metazoa; Chordata; Mammalia; Artiodactyla; Phocoenidae. The record is from RNAcentral.
GGAGACCAAGGGGCGCAAAUGGUACCUAGGCAUGUCCGAAUCAAGAAACUGCCUGCAAAACACAAACAAUCACAGCCGCAGAAGCCCGCGGAGACGCCCAUGGCUCGAGCUCAGGGUCAGCUCUCGGCUUCUUCCUCCUGGGCCAGGUCGAGCCCUCGGGACUCGGGAGCACCCUCCCCGUGUCCCUGAAGCCCCAGAAAGCAGCACCUCAGACACAGCCAAGCCCUCCGACCUUCCCCCCCGGGAGGGCGGCUCUCAGUCAUGAGCUGCCUGCCCCGGCCUGGCCCCCACAGGCCUCCGCCUCACAUCCCCGCCCGGCCUGGCAAACCCCGACAGGCCUGCUUUGUCAGGGGCUGCCGGGGGGCCACAUCCACCCACCCUGAUGCGGUCAAGCUCAGACUGCCCAGUUUGCAGAGAUCUCGGCCAUCACCUGGGAGCUUGGAAAGGAACAGCCCAGUGACGAGGAGCGUGGGCUAAGCUGUGCCGCUGGGCAGACCUCCACCCCGGGACGCCAGACUGCCGACCCAGCUCGACCCUGAACUCCUCCAGGACCCUCGGCCCCAGCACUCCUGCCAGAGGGUACAGACUUGCCCGCAGCGGUGUGGUUGGGAAAUCCAAGCUGUUUGUCCGCCCCGUGCCUCCCACUGCCCCAUUCCGCCCAUCCACCCACGAAACUCCCGAGGACAGGACCCAGCUCAUCCGCCGGCAGCUCCCACGCGGCCCCUCCGUGGGGUGACCGAGUGAGCCAGAGACAGGGUGGUGCGCAGACAAUCCCGCCGGGGGAAGUCGCGGCCACAGGCACCCCUCCCUGCACCCCUUCCUGGAGGGCUUGGAAAGCUUUGGGCCCUUUGUGGCCAGGGGGGCCAAGUGCGUGAGCUGAGAACGCACCCUGGGUUCUGACGCAGACCCUCCUCCAGGGAGUCGGGAGCAGCCCUGCCGCCGCCCCCAGGGGACUCACCGGUCGUCCUGGGCUGGGUAGAUGUAUCCAGACGAGAGGAUGUUGAGGGACAAGAUGCUGGGGUCAAUCAAGGACUCGUCGGUUUCCGGGGUGUUUCGGAUGCGACCUACAGGAAAGGGGACAGGCCGCGUGUCACUGCCCAGGAGGGCAGGUGGGGGGCUGGGUCCCUGCUCUCCGCCUCUGCCUGGGCCGGAGCUUCCACCUGUGAGGCCACGCCAUGUGGCUCCCCACGUGGCCACAAGAGCACCUGACAAAAGGCAACACCGGGGGUGUGGGGGACAGGGAGGCCCACACGGGGGCUGCACCUGCACGUGUGCCACCUGUCAGUGGGCGUCCUGCCAUCUUUCCCUGCAGCCGAAGUUCUGAGUUUCUUAGUCUUUCAGCCAUCGAUAACUCUCGCAGUAUCUCCCCCACCCCAACUGAUAGAUGCCAAUCCCUCAGCCUAGAACUCACAGGCUCUCCUACCUGCUGGAAAAGGAAAUCUUAGCAAGAUGAGAAGGAGAAAAUGUUCCCUUUUCUCUUUACACUU